This 72-nucleotide transfer RNA is filed under the name Lactiplantibacillus paraplantarum. Its description in RNAcentral is "Lactobacillus paraplantarum tRNA-Asn". It matches the Rfam family "tRNA". Rfam says of the family: Transfer RNA (tRNA) molecules are approximately 80 nucleotides in length. Their secondary structure includes four short double-helical elements and three loops (D, anti-codon, and T loops). Lineage: Bacteria; Bacillati; Bacillota; Bacilli; Lactobacillales; Lactobacillaceae. The record is from RNAcentral.
GUGGCCUUAGCUCAGUUGGUAGAGCACCUGACUGUUAAUCAGGUUGUCGCUGGUUCGAGUCCAGCAGCUACG